UACGUAGGGGGCCAGCGUUGUUCGGAAUUACUGGGUGUAAAGGGUUCGUAGGCGGUGCGGCAAGUUGGGAGUGAAAUCUCUGGGCUUAACCCAGAGGCUGCUCUCAAAACUGCUGUGCUUGAGUGUGAGAGAGGCUCGUGGAAUUGCAGGUGUAGCGGUGAAAUGCGUAGAUAUCUGCAGGAACACCGGUGGCGAAGGCGGGUCUCUGGGCAGUAACUGACGCUGAGGAGCGAAAGCGUGGGGAGCGAACAGG
Molecule: ribosomal RNA, 253 nt
Filed under: uncultured bacterium
Lineage: Bacteria
Description: partial 16S ribosomal RNA
Rfam family: Bacterial small subunit ribosomal RNA
Source: RNAcentral